GAAGCUUUGUGAAGAAGAAAGCUUUUAUAACUUAGAAGAGGAUUCUUAUUACUUAGAUGAUUCUUACAAACUUGGAUACUUUUUGAUGAUACAAAAUGAAAGGGAAGUGGAGGUAUUUAUAGCCCCCAUAAUACAAAAUAUCUCAAAUAUUUUAAUCCUAAAUCUAGAUAAUUCUAACAUAAUAUCUAGAUUUUUUAUUCUAAUUAUCUAGAUUUUUCUAUAACAAUAUCUAGAUUUUUUUAACUUAAGAAGGUGGAAGAUUAUUCUAGAAUUUGGGUUAAAGUUUUGGAUCAACACAUGAUUAGCCCAAUAAUGCUUAACCCAAAUCAAGUUUACUUUUCAACACCCCCUCUUAAACUUGAUUUGGUUACUCCGAGUAAGCUCCUCAUCUUGUUAAAGUCUUCUCGCUUGAGUGGCUUGGUGAAGAUAUCAGCUACUUGAUCAUUUGUCUUCAUAUACUCUAACUGCACAUCCAUCUUGGU
RNAcentral lists this long non-coding RNA (482 nucleotides) under Brassica napus (rape). RNAcentral's name for it is "long non-coding RNA (BNAP_LNC016981)". Lineage: Eukaryota; Viridiplantae; Streptophyta; Magnoliopsida; Brassicales; Brassicaceae. The record is from RNAcentral.